UAUGUUUUGGUGUAUGUUGCAUUUGGAAUUUUGAUUUCCAAGGAUUUAGUUAAAUUCUAUAAAAUAUAA
Molecule: transfer RNA, 69 nt
Filed under: Mecomma ambulans
Lineage: Eukaryota; Metazoa; Arthropoda; Insecta; Hemiptera; Miridae
Description: tRNA-Gln
Source: RNAcentral